CGCUCUAUAGCCCAACAGGCAGAGGCACCGGAUUUAGAUUCCGGGUGAUGGGAGUUCGAAUCUCUCUAGAGCGACCU
This 77-nucleotide transfer RNA is filed under the name Nocardia terpenica. RNAcentral's name for it is "tRNA-Leu". It matches the Rfam family "tRNA". From Rfam's summary of the family: Transfer RNA (tRNA) molecules are approximately 80 nucleotides in length. Lineage: Bacteria; Bacillati; Actinomycetota; Actinomycetes; Mycobacteriales; Nocardiaceae. The record is from RNAcentral.